Molecule: long non-coding RNA, 286 nt
Filed under: Physcomitrium patens
Lineage: Eukaryota; Viridiplantae; Streptophyta; Bryopsida; Funariales; Funariaceae
Description: long non-coding RNA (PPAT_LNC005851)
Source: RNAcentral
CACUGAAUAAGUUAAUAAUAUCCAAAGAAGUGAUGGAACUAUAAGUGAGGAGCAUGGUUGUUAAAUAAAAUAAUAAGUUGAAAAAUAAGAUUAUCCACCUAUAAUAGGAACUUUGUAGUUGUAAUCUUAAACAAUACCUAAUAAAGAUUCUAUUUUUUCUUUUGAACCCUCUCUUUGUUUUACAAUAUUUGUUUGUUUAGGACCUAAAAAUCACAAAGCCUCUACUUUUUAAAUGAAGAUUUUGUUAAAAGACAUAGAAUAUUAUUGAUAUAAAAAAUUAAAUGUG